UACGUGUCUGAUGUGAUAAACUUGUUAGCA
RNAcentral lists this non-coding RNA (30 nucleotides) under Mus musculus (house mouse). The record is from RNAcentral. Lineage: Eukaryota; Metazoa; Chordata; Mammalia; Rodentia; Muridae.